RNAcentral lists this ribosomal RNA (382 nucleotides) under Demodex folliculorum. RNAcentral describes it as "SSU rRNA". It matches the Rfam family "Eukaryotic small subunit ribosomal RNA", at positions 353 to 733 of the family's 1831-position model. Lineage: Eukaryota; Metazoa; Arthropoda; Arachnida; Trombidiformes; Demodicidae. The record is from RNAcentral.
UAACAGGUGACGGGGAAUCAGGGUUCGAUUCCGGAGAGGGAGCCUGAGAAACGGCUACCACAUCCAAGGAAGGCAGCAGGCACGCAAAUUACCCACUCUCAGAACGAGGAGGUAGUGACGAAAAAUAACAAUACGGGACUAUUAAUAGGCCCCGUAAUUGGAAUGAGUACAAUAUAAAUCCUUUAACGAGGAUCUAUUGGAGGGCAAAUCUGGUGCCAGCAGCCGCGGUAAUUCCAGCUCUAAUAGCGUAUAUUAAAGUUGCUGCGUUUAAAAAGCUCGUAGUUGUAUCUCAGUCCAUGUCAAUUGGUCAAUCACUUAAUAGUGAUUACUUUUUGACUGGACAUUAAACCGAUUUGUCUUCUGAUGCUCUUUACCGGGUGUU